GAUGAAGAACGUAGCGAAAUGUGAUACUUGGUGUGAAUUACAGAAUCCCGUGAACCAUCGAGUCUUUGAACGCAAGUUGCGCCCGAAGCCAUCAGGUUGAGGGCACGUCUGCCUGGGCGUCACAUAUCGUUGCCCAAUGCCUAUUGCAGUGCAAUAGGAAUUUCUAGGGCGAAUGAUGGCUUCCCGUGAGCGUUGUUGCCUCGCGGUUGGUUGAAAAUCGAGUCCUUGGUAGGGUGUGCCAUGGUAGAUGGUGGUCGAGUUAGAACGAUACCGAUCAUGUGCAUGCUCCCCAAAAUAUGGCCUCUAUGACCCACACGCGUCUUUUGACGCUCAUGACGAGACCUCAGGUCAGGCGGGGCUACCCGCUGAAUUUAAGCAUAUCAAUAAGCGGAGGA
Molecule: unclassified non-coding RNA, 395 nt
Filed under: soil metagenome
Description: partial contains 5.8S ribosomal RNA, internal transcribed spacer 2, and large subunit ribosomal RNA
Rfam family: 5.8S ribosomal RNA (bases 1-122)
Source: RNAcentral